Tachysurus fulvidraco (yellow catfish) is the source of this 732-nucleotide long non-coding RNA. RefSeq lists it as uncharacterized. NCBI's taxonomy places the organism in Eukaryota, Metazoa, Chordata, Actinopteri, Siluriformes, Bagridae. The record is from RefSeq and is a predicted model, not a curated record. The transcript has 3 exons.
GAUGGACUGAAGAAUCCACACUGUACACUGGAGAUACUGAGGAUGCAUUGCUGCAGUAUUACAGAUAAAGGUUGUGCUGCUCUGGCUUCAGCUCUGAGGUCAAACUCCUCAUCACACUUGAGAGAACUGAAUCUGUACUUUAAUAAUCCAGGAAAAUCAGGAGUGAAGCUGCUCUCUGAUCUACUGAAGGAUCCACACUGUAAACUGGAGACACUAUACAUUUAGCAUAAGACACUCACCUGGUCUGGUGUAUGACAGGAGUCUCUCCUCAGACGUUUUUUCCAGGAUAUAUCAGUUAUGGUGGUGAAGCGUUAGAACAUGUCCCACAUUUCCAGCAGUUUGGGAACUGAAUCAUUCAUAUUCAGAUGUAGAAGAUCCAUAACAAUAACUGAAAUAGAUCAGUGUUACUGUUUCCCAAAUGUUUUUGUCACGGCACAGUUUUGAUUUAUAAAACAUCUCAUGGCAGACGGCAAACCACUAAGCUUUAAAAUUAAUUGCACAGACACACUUCAUUGCUUCAGAUGGCAUAUUAAAAGUAGACAUAAUCCUUUAUUCCAAUAGAGGCGGGGCAGAGUUAUGAGGUUUGACUAACAGUUUGAGGAGCCAAUGUAGUUCCAAGGUUUAGUCAUAAGCUCUCUUAAACACUUUUCAUUGCUUAAAUGUUUGUAAAAACUCACCAUUAGAGGUAAAGGAUUCAGGAUAAGGAUGACCGCAUUGAUUUUUUAAAAAUAA